RNAcentral lists this transfer RNA (75 nucleotides) under Tritrichomonas foetus. RNAcentral's name for it is "tRNA-Gln". It matches the Rfam family "tRNA". Rfam says of the family: Transfer RNA (tRNA) molecules are approximately 80 nucleotides in length. Their secondary structure includes four short double-helical elements and three loops (D, anti-codon, and T loops). The record is from RNAcentral. Lineage: Eukaryota; Parabasalia; Tritrichomonadida; Tritrichomonadidae.
UCUCUUGUGGUGUAGCGGUUAUCAUAUGGGACUUUGAAUCCCGGGAUGGAGGUUCGACUCCUCCCAAGAGAAACA